Molecule: transfer RNA, 73 nt
Filed under: Marmota monax (woodchuck)
Lineage: Eukaryota; Metazoa; Chordata; Mammalia; Rodentia; Sciuridae
Description: tRNA.Val
Source: RNAcentral
UGGGGUAGUGGCUCAGAGGUAGACUGCUCACCUAACAUGCGUGAGGCCCUGGGUUGGACCCUCAGCACCACAA